CCGGAACCUCCGCAGCCUAACCACUGGUGAUGUGUUUGGGGAGCUGGCUAUCUUGUACAACUGCAAACGGACAGCAACAGUCAAAGCAAAGACAGCAGUGCGUCUGUGGAGCAUGGAGCGACAGACCUACAGGACGAUCAUAACCAACAAGUCCAAGAAGAAACGGGAGCAGCUCAUGGGCUUCUUGAAGACGUCUCAUACUCUAAAGGACCUGAAUGAUGUCCAGUUGUCCAAAAUCCUCGACUCU
Molecule: long non-coding RNA, 247 nt
Organism: Perca flavescens (yellow perch)
Lineage: Eukaryota; Metazoa; Chordata; Actinopteri; Perciformes; Percidae
Exons: 3
Source: RefSeq, a predicted model, not a curated record